AGAGUAUCACGUGACGCUCCUU
This 22-nucleotide microRNA is filed under the name Ixodes scapularis (black-legged tick). RNAcentral's name for it is "isc-miR-5306". The record is from miRBase by way of RNAcentral. Lineage: Eukaryota; Metazoa; Arthropoda; Arachnida; Ixodida; Ixodidae.